Molecule: non-coding RNA, 20 nt
Filed under: Arabidopsis thaliana (thale cress)
Lineage: Eukaryota; Viridiplantae; Streptophyta; Magnoliopsida; Brassicales; Brassicaceae
Source: RNAcentral
CUUCAACCUCUCGUCCGUUG